UCCUCUUUUGAUCUUUGUUUCGUUUCCUUUCUAUUAACUUGUUGGUUUUGUUCGACGUCGGCGUGCUCGGUAAGUUUUGGGUUUUCUCUUAAGCAUUGACGUUUUUGGACUAAGUGUUGAUGAAGAAUUGUUUUGUUGUUUUCGUUAGGCGAAUGUCAAUGACAUGUUAGUGCGCCAUAGCGAUUAGAGCAUUAGGAAUUACGGUUCAUUGAUGGUAAGUGGGUGUUAAUGCUAGUUAAUUUGGUGAGUUUUUCACAAUGUUAUAAUCUCGAUUCAAGUUCAUAUAUCUCUAAAAUCAAAAUUGGAUUAUCGAUUUUUUAGGUUCUGGGGCGUUCGGAGUUCAGCUUAGCUUCAAACAAAACCAUGUGUGUACCAAAAACGUAGAAAACAAGAUCGACGAAAAGCUAAAAAAACCAAUCUGUCGACGCCAUACAAGCGUGUGGUAGGCCGUGUGGUAGGCUGUGUGACGAUACAUGGGCAUGUGAUCGAUGAGCCAGGCUAUGUGUGCAUGACACGACCGUGU
RNAcentral lists this long non-coding RNA (523 nucleotides) under Gossypium barbadense (sea-island cotton). RNAcentral describes it as "long non-coding RNA (GBAR_LNC008959)". Lineage: Eukaryota; Viridiplantae; Streptophyta; Magnoliopsida; Malvales; Malvaceae. The record is from RNAcentral.